CAUAUAAUUAAGGGGAGGAAAAGAAACCAACUCGGAUUCCCCUAGUAACGGCGAGUGAAGCGGGAAGAGCUCAUGUUGUAAAUCUCCAGCUUGCUGGCGAAUUGUAGUCUAAAGGUGCGUGCUCAGUCGUGGUCCCGGGCUAAGUCUGUUGGAAAACAGCAUCAUGGACGGUGACAAUCCGGUUCUUGCCUGGGGUCCCGCGGCGUACGAGCCGUUUCCGACGAGUCGUGUUGCUUGGGAUUGCAGCACUAAGUGGGUGGUAAAUUCCAUCUAAAGCUAAAUAUUGGUGGGAGACCGAUAGCGAACAAGUACCGUGAGGGAAAGAUGAAAAGACUUUUGAAAAGAGAGUAAAAUAGUACCUGAAACUGCUGAAAGGGAAGCGAUUGAAGUCAGUGUUGCUCCUGGUCUUUUUGCCGUCGCCCCCGUGGGGGUUGCGGCGUGGGGCCUGGAGCGUUUCAACAUGCGUUCUGUUCCGCGGGAAAUGUUCAGUGUGCUGGAACCUUCGGGGAAACGCACUGUUCUUGUCGUGGUUAGGACGGAGGACCUUUGCUCCUUUGACUGCGCGUUCCUCUCUCGGGUAUGCUGGUGUCUACUGCUUGCAGUUUUCAUUUUCAUGCUUGCGACUGUGCGUGUUAUUCAUGAGCGAACAUGAUGUUGAAGAAAUGGCUUUAAUUACCCCGUCUU
Molecule: ribosomal RNA, 684 nt
Filed under: Heterosigma akashiwo
Lineage: Eukaryota; Raphidophyceae; Chattonellales; Chattonellaceae
Description: eukaryotic LSU rRNA
Rfam family: Eukaryotic large subunit ribosomal RNA
Source: RNAcentral